RNAcentral lists this ribosomal RNA (211 nucleotides) under Dehalococcoidia bacterium. Its description in RNAcentral is "partial 23S ribosomal RNA". It matches the Rfam family "Bacterial large subunit ribosomal RNA", at positions 1 to 205 of the family's 2925-position model. The record is from RNAcentral. Lineage: Bacteria; Bacillati; Chloroflexota; Dehalococcoidia.
AAUUGUGGGUCAAGUUAGUAAGGGUCCACGGUGGAUGCCUUGGGGCCAAGAGCCGAAGAAGGGCGUGGCAAGACUGCGAUAAGCCUCGGUCAGCUGUCUAGCAAGCUUAGCCGGGGAUUCCCGAAUGGGGGAACCCCUUCGAUAUAACAUCGGAGACUUCUAGCUGAACCCUUAGGCUAGAAGGGGUAAGUGGGGGAACUGAAACAUCUAA